Long non-coding RNA from Athalia rosae (coleseed sawfly), 1142 nucleotides. RefSeq lists it as uncharacterized. The record is from RefSeq and is a predicted model, not a curated record. The transcript has 3 exons. NCBI's taxonomy places the organism in Eukaryota, Metazoa, Arthropoda, Insecta, Hymenoptera, Athaliidae.
AUUGCUAGCGUACGCCUAGUCAUUUACUACUCGAGUUGCGAGCUCUGUUUCUACAAAGACUUUGAUCGAGUUAAAAUAGUUUCACUAAUCCUGUCGUACCUGGAGCGCGAUUUUGAAAGUAUAUAGUACGAUCACUGAGUAGAUAACACCCCUGUUAUCGGUUUGAAAUUUAAUUAAUAAAUUGCCCCACGUUUUCAACUUUCCGGAGUUAUAACUGACAGUGAAUCGAACGCUAUCAAUCAGAGUACUAGGAGUAGAGGGUGUACGAAAAUCUUACCAAGUCCACUAUGUACGGAGCCACGGAAUGUGCAAUUAUGCCGAAAAUGUGGAUCAACGAAACACCUUGAGCUCGUACAGGGGUUGGUAAUAAUUCAGCGGUGUGCUGUAAGCCAACGUUGGCGGCCAUGUUUAAACUAAAUCUUGCAAGGACGGCGACAACCAACGCUGCAUAGCCUGCGGAAUUGUUUUCAAAGCGGUCAAGUAUCAACGUCAACAGAAUUGCAGCCGGUAACUCUGUUGCACUCGCCAACGAGAAUGAAACGAAGACCGAACCGUGGAGAAGUUUCAGUGAAUAAACGUGGCCAUCGAACGCUAGGAUAACUAAAGUCCUGGGAAAUUUCGAGGGUGAGACAAAUGGUCUAGAAUUAGAGACAAUGGAGCUCAGUUUCAAAUUAAACCUACCAGAAUAUUAUCAACAAAACAAUCAUUUUGGCGAGUCUCGGCGUUUUGAAUAAGUCGAUCAAUGUAGCCGACUCGGUUUGUACUGUCGCGAGGCGGCUGCUUUCCUGGCAACAAAUAAAUUUCACGAUUGUAUACGAAUACCGUAUUCUACGAUGCGUUUGUCCAGAGAAUCUAUUUCUAGAUAAGUUUUAUUCGAUACUAACAGCAAAGUUUUCGUAGACUUUGGGAUCUUGUACUUUCUUAUUGACUUCCCCGACUCGCUUAAGAAUCCCAACCACCUCGUUGGUCUUUCCCUUGGACAUGUACCACCUGUUGGAAGUUUGAUUUCGAUAAUUGGUGCCUAUAAUUGUUCGAUUUUUUCCUAUUUCGAUUUUUUUUCUUUUUUUUUUUUGUAUGGGGACAACAUGAAAAGAUGUAAAUACACCUGGUGGGAAAUCUCGAUUUUUAAAACGUUCGAUUUA